UGCUGCUAGUCACAUCUCAAGAAGG
RNAcentral lists this non-coding RNA (25 nucleotides) under Mus musculus (house mouse). The record is from RNAcentral. Lineage: Eukaryota; Metazoa; Chordata; Mammalia; Rodentia; Muridae.